RNAcentral lists this ribosomal RNA (484 nucleotides) under uncultured bacterium. Its description in RNAcentral is "partial 16S ribosomal RNA". It matches the Rfam family "Bacterial small subunit ribosomal RNA", at positions 30 to 507 of the family's 1533-position model. The record is from RNAcentral.
AUUGAACGCUGGCGGCAGGCCUAACACAUGCAAGUCGAGCGGAUGAAGGGAGCUUGCUCCUGGAUUCAGCGGCGGACGGGCGAGUAAUGCCUAGGAAUCUGCCUGGUAGUGGGGGAUAACGUCCGGAAACGGGCGCUAAUACCGCAUACGUCCUGAGGGAGAAAGGGGGGGUUCUUCGGACCUCACGCUAUCAGAUGAGCCUAGGUCGGAUUAGCUAGUUGGUGGGGUAAAGGCCUACCAAGGCGACGAUCCGUAACUGGUCUGAGAGGAUGAUCAGUCACACUGGAACUGAGACACGGUCCAGACUCCUACGGGAGGCAGCAGUGGGGAAUAUUGGACAAUGGGCGAAAGCCUGAUCCAGCCAUGCCGCGUGUGUGAAGAAGGUCUUCGGAUUGUAAAGCACUUUAAGUUGGGAGGAAGGGCAGUAAGUUAAUACCUUGCUGUUUUGACGUUACCAACAGAAUAAGCACCGGCUAACUUCGUG